This 2320-nucleotide long non-coding RNA is filed under the name Sus scrofa (pig). Its description in RNAcentral is "lncRNA (ENSSSCG00055011114.1)". The record is from RNAcentral. Lineage: Eukaryota; Metazoa; Chordata; Mammalia; Artiodactyla; Suidae.
GACGGUAGAGGCCUCCCUUCCGGGGCGGCGGCGGCGGCGCGGGCGCUCCCCGGCGCGAGCCCACGCGUCCUUCCCCUCGAGGUCCCUGCGCGGCGCGGCCCAGCCCGGCGUCUGUUCCUCCUUUCCGUCACCUGCUGCCCACCUGCCUCACUGAAGCACCCCAGGUAAGUUGGCGGGUGAUGUGUUCAGAAAGCAGGAACGCGCCACCCUGCUGAAUUGCUCGCAGGCCUCCGGGGCAUGGGGACUGCUUGUCUACUUUAAAAUAAAAGUCGCCUUCCUCCUUGGGAGAGCCUCCUCUCCUGUAAAAAACGGUGACCUCGGAGGGCUGGCAUUCCAAAGCCGUGCCAGAGGCGCCCCAGGGUUGCCGUCCCGCCAGAAACCUCGCAGGGAGUGUUCUUGGUGGUCGGAUCCCAUCUGUAAGGGUUCCAGUCCAAAGAUGCAACCAGGCCUCCACCGCGUCUCACCACGCACGUACAUUCACACGCGUGUUCUCUGCACUCAGCACCCGAGAGCGCCCCUCCCUCGUUCUCCAGGUCCGGACACUCCUAGUUCUUGGUAACAUUUGGAAGCUUCUCCUCCAGGAUCUCUGUCCAGAGGUUGCACCUGCCUGCCAGGAACCUCCACUUCUGCUUUGUGUCCAGGGUUCAUAGAGGCCCUCCCGUUCUGCAGAGGACUGACCUGCGUCUCAGGACACCUGAAUCUAAACAAUGCCUUCAGCCUUUGAGCUCUCUAGAAAAUAGGCAUAGAGCUGUUUAGACCUGUUUUCGACAAGUCCAGAAUUGAGAAUGAGAAGUCGGGGUGGAGGGUGGUCGGUCUGCACGUUGAGAACAGGACCAGUUAGCAGAUGAACUUUAAGCUGGCCCUUGAUGCCUUACGGUUAUAUAUGGUCAUUGACUUUUUCUUCUCCUUGGGAUAAUGGGAGGAAAAACUCUGUCUUUUCUGUAUAUCUUACUGCCCACCUCAUAUUCCCGAGAAUUUUUUGCUCUUUCCAGAUGCCUCCGUCUCUCACGGGAGCAGGAGUGUGUGGGUGUUAGCGUCUAAGUGAGAAACCUGGAACUCAGGCUGAUCUCUCUUAGCAUCUUAAACCCAAACUUGUGUUAAUUUCCUGGCCCGCAUGAGGUUGGGAACAACAGACAGGACAGUGUCAAAAAACAGCUGACCCUGAACCUGGGGCCAGAGGAAGCUGGAAAGGCCACUGUCAAAAGAUUUUCUUUUAAAAUUUCCCCUUAAAUUUAGAAACCGUCUUACAGGCCGGGUUGCAGGUGGACGGACAGGCAUAGACAGUGUAAGACUGAGAAACGAUCACACCUCGCCUGAUCUGAAGCCAGGUUCACUGCAGGAGUGCACUUCAGACUCAAAGAAAGGAGGUCACACCUGCGGUUUCCACAUUGCAUUAUGAUACACUGCCGGCCUUGUCUUCCGUGAGUGUGCUCGCCGCAAGGACAUUUUGGCAUGUGUUGUGUACGUAUAAGGCAUGAUUUGCCCUCAACUGAGAAAGCUGUAUUUCCCGAUUCUAUACAUUUUAGUUUGAAACCCAUUUUGCAUUCAGUUCCUGUGUUGUUUUCAUAAAAUGAAAGGAAGUUAAAAAAAAAAAAUCUGCAGUUGGGACAUUUCCCACUCCAGGCUCCUGUGCCCAGGGGUCCUGCCUAACCCACGAAACUGCCAGGAACACGGCUGUCCGCCCGGGAGCAGGUGACAUCAGCAGAGCUCGGCUUUGGGGCUCAUGUUGGCUGAGGCCCUGAACCAUCGGACUUCAGGCGUCCAGGGUUUUCCUGAAGCUGGGUGGGAGGGCCCUUGGCGGCCCAUAGCCCUCGACUGCUUCAAAGCCCCAGACCUCCUACAGGUGCACAUCCAUGGCAGAGAUGGAACUCUUGGCAACUACAGGGCAAGGAUUAAAACAUUUUAAAACAAACACACCAUGUUUGGGGGAAAGUUACCUCCGUGGACAAUGCUGUCUCUUGCCCUGCACAGCGUCACUCAGUUUGGGCUUAUUUCACUGAUAAUGUACUUAAUUCCACAUAAACUACUAGGUGUCUGUAUGUAACAAUCUUUUUUUUUUUUUGUUAACCAGUUUUAUGAAAACAAGAGCCUUUCCCACCUCAGAAGAAAGUAUUGACCCUAAAAGUCUAUUUCAGAUAUUUGAAAACACACGGGCAUAUUCUGCCUCAUGAUUGCACGAUGCAGUAGUGUGUCGUGGUGAUUGUCUUGUAGCUGCCUCUUAAUGUGACAGGUGUGCUUCAUGCAGUAUGCUAUGGGGAAAGAAAUGAAGCUUUUUAGGAUGAGCUUAAGGAAAUGACUAUUUUUUUAAGGAAAAUAAACU